RNAcentral lists this long non-coding RNA (879 nucleotides) under Olea europaea subsp. europaea. Lineage: Eukaryota; Viridiplantae; Streptophyta; Magnoliopsida; Lamiales; Oleaceae. The record is from RNAcentral.
GUAUUAUUCAUUGAAUACAAAUUAACCAAUUUAUUUGGUCACAAACAACCAAAUAAUUGGUCACAAACACCUCCACGUCCCAUCCCACCUACCCCAACCACCUCUCGCCACGACCACCGUCAUGUCAACAGACUGCAAAACCAUCACCACACACCACAUCAACCCAAAAUCACCGUCACAAUAACCAAACCACCCCCAUCAAUGCAAAAUCACCGUCACAGUAACAACACCAGCACUACCACACAAACUCCGAAAUCAACAACCUACACCGUCGCCAGAAACUACCACGACCGUCGCCACCAACACACUAACAACACCCAAAUCAACCACAUAGAAAGCAGAAGCAACAAAAAGAUCAGAUUCGAUAGUAAUCACACUCAUUCUCAGCCCACGGGGACGAGGAGAAAUGGUAAAUCUGCAGCGCCGGUGUCGCCGGAGCAUGUGGCACACACUGAUUCACGGCUUCUUCACAAAGCAAGUCGCCAGAGUGGUGGAUCAGCUCCGCGGUGUCAUUUCAUCGCCGCAAAUCACGAUCAUUGGUAGGAGAUGUGGGACACUGCGCUGCGUUAUGCGGUGCUACCUACAUGGUGGCGACGGCGCGGUGUCAUCAUUUGAAGUGGCAUGGGUAGGUCUCUGGCGAGCGACGAGCAGAUGGAAUGGAAGAAAGGGAAAAGAUGGAGAGCGAUGGUCGAAGACUCGCCGGAAGAGAGGGAGAGUGAAGAUGAGACUGUGAAAGUGAAAUGAAUAGGGUUUCGAAUUUUGGUUAAUAAAAAUAUUGGUUAAAAUAAAAUUUCUGAUUUUUGAAUUGUUAAACUUGCCAUUUGAUUUUAGAAUGUUGGAUUUUUAAUGUAUGAUUUUGUGUAAUUUCCACUACACACA